GAGUGACCCUGGGCACAGGUGGCCACACCAUGGGCCACUCUGCAGCUGUCCAAAGGGGCAAUUUGGAUGUGGGACAGAAGACAGGUGGCCCCGGGGGCAGUGUGGACAGUCCCCUGGAGAUGCAUGAGGGCCUUUUGUUGCUGGGGACUCUGGGGGCUCCAUGCUGGCAGGGCCACCAAGCAGGCAGGAGCGCGGUGACAAUGGCUGGGAACCUUUUCUCUUUGCGUCCUCCUGCACCAUGUGGGUUUCACACCGCGAGUGACUUCAGUAGAAGGUGGCCACAUUUUCCUUAGACAUUUCUAAGGAGGUCCUGGGACAGAAUGACUAUGACAAAGGGUCUGUCACAUCCCUCCUGGAGAGAGUGGCUGGUGCUGUGCUCAAGGUUCAAAGCCCCACCUCCCACAAAGCCAGGGGCUCCCCGGCCACUGAACGUGACUCUGCGCCAACAGGAUGAAAUCUCUUUGGCUCCCUCAGGCCUGGAGGGGACCCCCAGGGCCCAGCCUCUGUUUUCUGGAAUUCAGCCUCCAUCUCCUGGGGCCUGGCUUAUCCAUCUGGGCUUCCUCAGACCUACAGGUCCCUGGGUCCCCUUGGCCAGACACAGGGGAACCAGGGCCACCACCUAACUUCCUGUUUAGGACUCCACAAUGACAUUUUCAUCUUAAAGGCCACCUUCUCACACCUGUCCCCUCCCCUGCCAGCCCUGGGCAGAGGCUGGUCCUAAAACACCUUGGGGAAAAGCAGACAUUAGGCCUCUACCACAGUUGGGAUCUCUCCUCUGGGACUGGUGGGGGCCUCCCCUCUGUCACUGUCCCCAGGGCCUGCCCACUGCACUCUGACUGCCCCAGCUCCUCUUAGGGGACUCUUACAUCCCUUUAUCUUGAGACCAAAAAGCCAGACCUUCAAAGCCAGAGGGUCCUCCAGGCACCACGUACCAAGGCCCAUGCUAAGGGGGCCUGAGGCGGGGCUAGGGGACCAAGACCGAGUCCUGUCACACUUAUGGGGAGCCAGGGGCUCCUGAUUCCCAGUCCUCCUUCCGGUCACUCCUGCAGCCAGUGAGUCUGUGGAGAGCCCGGCUGAGGGGUCCCGAGGUCACCUGAGGUCGCAGGAGCUUGUCAGCACAGGCUGAGACUAAAUAUGCUAAUCCACACUAAUAUGCUAAUGUCCGGGGUGUGUUUUCCAAAAAGUGCUUUCAAGAAAAAGUAGGGGAGUGUAGGGGCCUUUGGAGCAGGGCCACCCCGGGGUGGCUGCAGCUGACAAAGAGCUGGGCCACAUGCUCACUGACAGCAGAGACUCUGAGGUCCACAGCCCCCAGCCCCCUGCCUGGCCCUGGGGUUGGGGGAGCUUUGAGGGACCCGUGGGGAACCCAAAGACCAGGCUGGUUCAGCCUGCGGGGAGCCGUGGCCGGGCAGCUGCUACGGGGACCCCUGAAAAUCUUGCCCUGAGUCUAAUGAACAGCCAUUGAAGCCCUCCGCCCAGGUGACAUAGGACAGAAGAAAAAAUAAUAAUAAUGAUAAUCAGUAGGGAGGCCCAGAAGGAAGAACAAAGAAAAUAUCAAAAGUGUGACUGAAGCUCAAGUUCAGCAAACUCUCUGCCUCUCCAAGCCACUUCUCUGUCUCCCAUUCACUCAGGAAAAUUGUCCUGGUUGGGUGCAGUGGCACACACCUGUAACCCAGCGACUUGGGAGGCCGAGGCAGGAGGAUCGCAAGUUGGAGGCCAGCCUCAGCCACUUAGCAAGGCCCUCAGCAGCCCAGGGAGACCCUGUCUCUAAAUAAAAUACAAAAAAGGGCUGGGGACAGGGCUCAGGGGUGAAGCACGCACCCCUUGGGUUCCCCCCCUCAAAAAAAAUUGUCCUGUCCACUAUUAAUAAGGCCACAGACACAUGCAUUUUUAGAAUAGAUUGAGCAAAAGCAGAUAGAUUUUUCCAGAACCCUAAGAUCUGGGACUUUUCUCAGUGUCACCUUGCAGAGAGCGGCUGGGCCUUGCUCUGAGCCACUCCAGGAUGCACAGAGCAGCAGUUUUCAGGCUGGGUCUACACAGGAGGGACUUCAGUUUGGAAAUCAGUGUUUUGCCCUAAGCUACUCCAUUUUGAAAUUUCAGUGCUGAUGUGGAACGACUCCACACCUUGUUUGUGUAAGUAAACAACCACUGUCUGCCUGACACUCACCAUAAGGCACACACUAAACAAAUUAACUGUGCCAAGAAACAUGACCACCUAGGGCAGGGCGGAGUGGUGCACAGCUGUCAGUCCAGCGGCUCGGGAGGCUGAGGCAGGAGGACCACAAGUUGGAGGCCAGCCUCAGCCACUUAGCAAGGGCCUCAGCAGCUCAGCAAGACCUUGUCUCAAACUAAGAAAUAAAAAGGGCUGGCCUCUUUUGUUAAGUGCC
RNAcentral lists this long non-coding RNA (2384 nucleotides) under Ictidomys tridecemlineatus (thirteen-lined ground squirrel). Its description in RNAcentral is "lncRNA (ENSSTOG00000029879.1)". The record is from RNAcentral. Lineage: Eukaryota; Metazoa; Chordata; Mammalia; Rodentia; Sciuridae.